UGGGGAAUAUUGGACAAUGGGCGCAAGCCUGAUCCAGCAAUGCCGCGUGUGUGAAGAAGGCCUUCGGGUUGUAAAGCACUUUUAUCAGGAGCGAAAUACUACCGGCCAAUACCCGGUGGGGCUGACGGUACCUGAGGAAUAAGCACCGGCUAACUUCGUGCCAGCAGCCGCGGUAAUACGAAGGGUGCAAGCGUUAAUCGGAAUUACUGGGCGUAAAGGGUGCGUAGGCGGUUCGUUAAGUCUGUUGUGAAAUCCCCGGGCUCAACCUGGGAAUGGCAAUGGAUACUGGCGGGCUAGAGUGUGUCAGAGGAUGGUGGAAUUCCCGGUGUAGCGGUGAAAUGCGUAGAGAUCGGGAGGAACAUAAGUGGCGAAGGCGGCAAUCUGGGACAACACUGACGCUGAAGCACGAAAGCGUGGGGAGCAAACAG
Molecule: ribosomal RNA, 428 nt
Filed under: Bacillota bacterium
Lineage: Bacteria; Bacillati; Bacillota
Description: Firmicutes bacterium partial 16S ribosomal RNA
Rfam family: Bacterial small subunit ribosomal RNA
Source: RNAcentral